CCCGGAUAGUUAACUAUAAACACUUAGGUCGUGACCCUAAAAACAGAGAGCGUCUCUUCCGAGCU
RNAcentral lists this transfer RNA (65 nucleotides) under Agama picticauda. Its description in RNAcentral is "tRNA-His". The record is from RNAcentral. Lineage: Eukaryota; Metazoa; Chordata; Lepidosauria; Squamata; Agamidae.